AGGGGUAAAUGGUAGCAAUACUAUGAGAUCGGCGAACGGGUGCGUAACGCGUAUGCAACUUACCUUAUGCAGGCGGAUAGCCCGUGGAAACGCGGAUUAAUAUCCCAUAGAUCAGUAAUAUCGCAUGGUAUAACUGGUAAAACUCAGGUGGCAUAAGAUGGGCAUGCGUCUGAUUAGCUAGUUGGUAGGGUAACGGCCUACCAAGGCGACGAUCAGUAGGGGUUCUGAGAGGAUUAACCCCCACACUGGUACUGAGACACGGACCAGACUCCUACGGGAGGCAGCAGUGAGGAAUAUUGGUCAAUGGGCGCAAGCCUGAACCAGCCAUCCCGCGUGAAGGAAGAAGGCCCUACGGGUUGUAAACUUCUUUUCUGUUUGAAGAAUAAGCUCGUCGAGACGAGUGAUGCCGGUAGGACAGGAAUAAGCAUCGGCUAACUCCGUGCCAGCAGCCGCGGUAAUACGGAGGAUGCAAG
RNAcentral lists this ribosomal RNA (473 nucleotides) under uncultured Bacteroidota bacterium. RNAcentral describes it as "bacterial SSU rRNA". It matches the Rfam family "Bacterial small subunit ribosomal RNA", at positions 65 to 538 of the family's 1533-position model. Lineage: Bacteria; Pseudomonadati; Bacteroidota. The record is from RNAcentral.